CCCUUAGAUGUUCUGGGCCGCACGCGCGCUACACUGACGAUGGCAACGAGUUUUUCCUUCGCCGAAAGGUGUGGGUAAUCUUUUGAAACAUCGUCGUGCUGGGGAUAGAUCAUUGCAAUUAUUGAUCUUGAACGAGGAAUUCCUAGUAAACGCGAGUCAUCAGCUCGCAUUGAUUACGUCCCUGCCCUUUGUACACACCGCCCGUCGCACCUACCGAUUGAAUGUUUCGGUGAAGAUUCCGGAUAGGACUUUUUUGAUUUAUUUCAAUUCUGUCUUAAAAGCUAUCUAAACCUCAACAUUUAGAGGAAGGUGAAGUCGUAACA
RNAcentral lists this ribosomal RNA (323 nucleotides) under uncultured eukaryote. Its description in RNAcentral is "partial 18S ribosomal RNA". It matches the Rfam family "Eukaryotic small subunit ribosomal RNA", at positions 1470 to 1796 of the family's 1831-position model. The record is from RNAcentral.